CCUACGGGUGGCAGCAGUGAGGGAUAUUGCACAAUGGGGGAAACCCUGAACCAGCGACGCCGCGUGAGGGAAGACGGUUUUCGGAAUGUAAAGCUCUAUCAGCAGUGAAGAUAAUGACGGUAGCAGAGGAGGAAGCCCCGGCUAACUACGUGCCAGCAGCCGCGGUAAUACGUAGGGGGCAAGCGUUGUCCGGAUUUACUGGGUGUAAAGGGGGCGUAGGCGGGAGGGCAAGGCAGGAGUGAAAGCCAGGGGCUUAACCCAGGGACUGCUUUGGAAACGGUAAGUCUUGAGUGAAGGAGAGGUAGGCGGAAUUCCCGGUGUAGCGGUGAAAUGCGGAGAUAUCGGGAGGAACACCAGUGGCGAAGGCGGCCUACUGGGCUUUAACUGACGCUGAGGCUCGAAAGCGUGGGGAGCAAACAGGAUUAGAUACCCCUGUAGUC
Molecule: ribosomal RNA, 440 nt
Filed under: uncultured bacterium
Lineage: Bacteria
Description: partial 16S ribosomal RNA
Rfam family: Bacterial small subunit ribosomal RNA
Source: RNAcentral